UGCGGUUUCGAGGUUAUCUCCCGAUGCCUCAGCGUCACUAGCCUCUUGUAAUCUCGGCUCUUAAGUGUCUUUGCCUCAAAUCGUGAGGCUUCGAAGAAAUAUCGCGAUGCUUCCGCUUUUAAUCUUUUCGACAGCAGUCCCUGUGAGAAAAUUUUAAAAGUCAGUUUUUAGCAUCAUGAGUUGGUGAAUUGUUUAUGCGUACUGUUCAGGUUGGUACAGUAUUUGUUUUGGAAAUUAGGGGAGAAAAAAAAAGGAUGUGUCAGAAGUGGGAUUCGAACCCACGCCUCCAUUCGGAGACCAGAAUCCCCAGCGCGGGGAAGCGAAGCUUGAGUCUGGCGCCUUAGACCACUCGGCCAUCCUGACACCCUGCGAAAAGCGGGUGAUUUUUUCGGUAAAAUAGAUACCAGAAGCAGCGGCUCUGUGACGUACGCUCGAGGAAGUGUUGAUGUCAGUGUUGCCGGGUAACGGCCGGAGAGGGAAAAAGCCGCCUGUGGAUUGAAGAGGAAGAAUUUCGCGGGCGGAGAAAAAAUGUUUAUGCAUAAAACUGGACACAGUUCUCUCGGGGACCUUACAACUGUCAUCCCCAUCUCGCGAAGGGAGUGCAAACACUUCCUGGGCCCAGACGGCCCAUAUUUCGGGAAGGAAGGAAAGGAAAGAAAGAAUAUCGUUUUGCCUGGGUCGCUCCGUCGGUCCUCCAGCCUCUAAUCCUCAUCGAAAUCUUGAGUGUGGUUAGCCUCGCUCUGGGGUUUCUUUCUUUUGGAGAUAGUGAGGAACAACAACGAAUCUAAAAAAAGACCCCGAUUCAGUGGCAUGGCCCCCUCGAUCUCUAUUUAGGUUCCUUUUCGUCCCCAGAACUGCCUUGCCACUCCUUGGGCAGUUUCUUUUGGGCUCCGAAAGCAACAGCUGGGGACAGCCUGGGGAAGUCCGUGUAGGGUCGACGGCUCCCGCCGGGGCGGGCGGGACAAGCCAUGUCUGCUCCGGGGGUCUGACCCGUCCCGGGUCCAGAGAACCCCCUGGAGGGACCCGCUGGCCUCCCCACCUUCCCAGUCUCGCUCAGACGUUCCAAAUUAAAAGUCUCCGUGGCGUCCAUUGCCGGGGCGGGCAUGACUGGCAGUUAUUUUUAAGGGAGAUGGCGGGGUGAGAAUCAGGGGGACGAGCUGCAUCUUUACAGCUUUCUCAGCUUUGCGCAAAGUAAUCUGAGUUGUGGUCUGCAAGGCCCGAGGUCACAUAUUACAAUGAAGACUUGAGACUAAACAAUAAGAACUUAUUCUUCCAACGAGACUGAGAGCUUUCAGGGGUCAGUCCUUGUCUACUCUUGGGGAAGAUGUUCUUCUUUGCCGGUCAGGCCAGUUUCAGGAAAAAACAGCAGCAAAAGAACUGGAGAAUGAGGAGUUGUUGAAGCCUCAAUACGUAGUUAAGAACUGCAGAUAUUCUGAGGAAAGAACCAGAGGAGCCAAAGGAAUGCUACUGUGUCCCAUGUCUGCUUUAAGGGGUUCAAAUCCUGAUUUGAUGAAUUCAAAUGUUGCUUACCUUUCUGCAGCAACUACCUUGGACUCUAAGAAGGAGGACCAUAUCUCAGAGACGGCAGAAGAGUGAACGGAAAGAAACCUGAGAGGCUGAUGACCACUGGAGCCCCCAUACCAGUCCUGGGCUACCUACUUACACAUUUCUUAUAUGAAGUUGGCAGAAAACCCACCUAUGGGCUGGCCCUCCUGGGAGAAACCAGGGAGACAAGGAACACAACUCACAGUCAAGGAGCUAAAAAUCAGACAGAGGAACUGGGAUGCACACUGUUUGGUACAUGAGCACUUCCCAUGUCCUCCUGGACUAUUAGUCAAGGAUCUCGUGACUUCAACUUUACUAGCUCAAGCAUCCCACCGUUGGAACACAACUGCAUAUUUGUCUAGCUUGCUUUCUUUGACUUUUUACUGUGAAAUAAUUUCAAAUACACAGAAAAUCUGCUAGUACAAAGA
This is a long non-coding RNA of Equus caballus (horse), 1973 nucleotides long. RefSeq lists it as uncharacterized. NCBI's taxonomy places the organism in Eukaryota, Metazoa, Chordata, Mammalia, Perissodactyla, Equidae. The record is from RefSeq and is a predicted model, not a curated record.